This 401-nucleotide transfer-messenger RNA is filed under the name Prolixibacteraceae. RNAcentral's name for it is "JAENXA01 sp016649735 Standard tmRNA". It matches the Rfam family "transfer-messenger RNA". From Rfam's summary of the family: Bacterial tmRNA, also known as 10Sa RNA or SsrA, is named for its dual tRNA and mRNA-like properties. Its role is to liberate the mRNA from a stalled ribosome. Lineage: Bacteria; Pseudomonadati; Bacteroidota; Bacteroidia; Marinilabiliales. The record is from RNAcentral. RNAcentral also lists the same sequence under 1 other name.
GGGGGUGAAUUGGUUUUGACAGCGGGCAGAAGAGGUGUGUAAGCAUGUCGAGCUUUGUUUAUUGGCUCGUUAAUCUCAAUGAUCAAAUUUUUAAUUGGCAAUGAAAAUUUCGCUCUUGCUGCUUAACUGAAUUACAGUAGGUUUAAGCUUUAUCCUGGCACUAGGUGCCGGGACGAGACAUCAUCCGGAUGCCCUUGUUCUGAGGCGGUUCGAUUAGAUGGUGCAAAAAUAUCAGAACUGGCGUAUUAGCUGCUUCGACCUGUACGUGAGAAAACAGAAGAUAAGAUAACGUUUGGUGGCUUUGAUCCGGCCGUUAUUCGAAAAUCAAGUCAGAGCUACACAUGUAGAAAGCAUAUUGCUUCCUCGUUUGGACCCGGGUUCGAGUCCCGGCACCUCCACUA